UAGGGUAUAGCUCAGGGGCAGAGCGUGCGCUUAGCAUGUAGGAGGUCCUGGGUUCAAGUCCCAGUACCUCAU
This 72-nucleotide transfer RNA is filed under the name Camelus bactrianus (Bactrian camel). It matches the Rfam family "tRNA". From Rfam's summary of the family: Transfer RNA (tRNA) molecules are approximately 80 nucleotides in length. Their secondary structure includes four short double-helical elements and three loops (D, anti-codon, and T loops). The record is from Rfam by way of RNAcentral. Lineage: Eukaryota; Metazoa; Chordata; Mammalia; Artiodactyla; Camelidae. RNAcentral also lists the same sequence under 2 other names.